Molecule: long non-coding RNA, 1697 nt
Organism: Cebus imitator (Panamanian white-faced capuchin)
Lineage: Eukaryota; Metazoa; Chordata; Mammalia; Primates; Cebidae
Exons: 2
Source: RefSeq, a predicted model, not a curated record
CCUCGGCCUCCCAAAGUGCUGGGAUUACAGAAGUUAAUAUGACUUGAAACAGUGACAAAUUCAAGAAUUUACAGCCCAGGAUAAGGAGCACAAUGUAUGGUCUCUGCAAAGACUGAAGUAGCUGGAGAGAAGAUGGGAAAGAAGCCAAGCUACCCAAGAAACCAGAAUCUAUGAAAUUUUUAGCUUCGAAGUCCAGAAACAGGACCAGGUGUACAGGAAGAACUCAACAAGUGACUUUUUGGUAACCAGAUAACAUAGACACCACACAAGGCAAAUGUAAUUCGUGUAUCUAACGUUUUCACAGAGGGAAAAUUUUAUUUCUUUUUCAAAUUUAGUGACACAUGUUUUCUAAAUGCGUUUUUUUUUUGCAUACAUUAUAUUUUGCUUAUUCAGUCAUCCAUCAAAGGACAUUUGGAUUGCUUACUGCUCUGAACAUGGGUGUGCAAAUCUCCUUGAAGUCCUGCUUUCAUUUUUUUUCAUCAACUUUUAAGUUCAAGAGUACAUGUGCAGGAUGUGCAGGUUUGUUACAUAAGUAAACAUGCCAUGGUAGUUUGCUACACAGAUCACCCCAUCACCCAGGUAUUAAGCCUUUUAAAGUAAAAUAUAUAGUGCCAUAUCUAUUAUAUGUCUACAUAUUCGUGGUAGUAAAUAUUUAAUUUUUUUCCUUUCUUUCUCUCAGUGCAUUAUUCCCUCCUUGAUAUAAUAAUUUUAAAAAUAGACGUAUCCUAUUCAGGAGACCUUUGAUGAAGAUGUGUAUCUGAAUUCUACACAUAAAAAUUGGACCAUAGUAAUUGCUGCCACCUUGUGGGACUGUGAAAAAAAGUCAAGAGUCUAUUACCUCCUUAUACUCAGCAUCCUUUCAUUCAAGCAUUCAUACAUCCAUUCAUCCUUUCAUGCCACAUCUACUCUGUGCCAGGCCCUGGCUAGGCUCUGGGGACAUAAGGCAAGUAAGACACACUCUGUGUCCUCAUGAUAUGUAGUGCAAAAUAUUGUCACAGAAGAGAGUGCCCUUCUUGGUUGGAAGUAGUAGAGGAACCCAAAAGACUUCACCAAAGAGGCAUAAUCCAAAGAUUCAUGGAUAGCCAGGCUGAUUCCAUUCUGUGUGGCUUUCUGGUGUGAAAAUAGUUUCCUGGACAGAAUACUCCAGCCCAUUUCUGCUGUUUCUUUCUCACUAGUAGGAAAGACAAAGAGAAACACAGUGCUGCCCAUCCUUAGCACCUCAGAGGGUAUGUGAAUAUCCUUCCUCUUCUUCUCCAGACCCUCUUUCCUCCCCACUUUCUACUGCCCUGUGCCCCAGAAGGCUAAUCAGUGGGAACCACCUCUGUCUCUCUCUUACACACUGACUUCCAAUUCCAUUCAAACAAUAUUGGGGGUGAGGAGGCGUGAGCAGGAGAGGAAGGAGCAUUAGAUGUUAAUAUUUAUGCCCAGAUUCCCUCCCAUAUAGAGCAUCAAGGGCCUAAUGCAUCCUUCAAUAUGAGGCUUCAGGUUAUCCCUUCCCUUGUUUUUUCAGCUCCAGGGAUGGUAAUAGCGCUAAGCUGAUGCUGGCCAUAGAGUGCUACACUAACCCUUGUGGUCUUAUAUUCUGCUUACACCUUUGUAAAUAAUCCCUUCAAAUCAUCUAAAUUUGAGUGUGCCAUUGGUUUCUUGCUUCCUGACUGAUAUAGAAGAAACAAAUGAAUAAAUAAUUGAUACAUGAA